Long non-coding RNA from Artibeus jamaicensis (Jamaican fruit-eating bat), 1189 nucleotides. RefSeq lists it as uncharacterized. The transcript is spliced from 3 exons. NCBI's taxonomy places the organism in Eukaryota, Metazoa, Chordata, Mammalia, Chiroptera, Phyllostomidae. The record is from RefSeq and is a predicted model, not a curated record.
AGGUUGAAAAAAUCUCCCUCUGUGGUUCUAAUUCUGACAAAUAUGCACAUUUACUGCUCCAAAAGGUGAAGAACCACUACCUAGAUAAAAAUCCACUGGAAUUAAAGAGAAACAAAACAAAUUUUGAGAAAAAAAAUGAUGAGGGAAGAUGAGUUUUAAAUUUUUGUUUAUCUCUUUAUCUACCUAUUGAUGAAAGCCCUCAUUUUGAUAACUUAAACUUGAACUCAGAAUCACCCAACGCUAUCUUCAAAAACCCAGAAUGGUUGAAAAAUCAAUGCUGCUCUGUGAAAGGCUUUUGUAUCUCUAGUUCUGCUUUUUGAGCUGAAAUGGAAGUUACUUGUCUUCCUGUCAGUCCCACAACCAGCCUGCAACCUCCAAAGCAUUUCUAUAUCUUGGGCUUCUCUGUAUUUUUGAAGGUGACCUAAGAACAGGUGUUCAACCAGUUUCCUCAUCCUUGGAGGAGGGAGCAGAGCCAUUCCUACCCAACCCACGGAGGCUGAGAGUGAGGAAAGGAAGCCACGGUCCUCUCGUCCAAGGAAGCAUCCGAGGAAGCGUGUCUCUGAUUGGUCCCUCAUGAGGAUGGCUCAUCUGGUUCUGGAUUUUGGCAGAACUUCUGGCUUUGUCCCAACCUCGGCAACUCCUCCAACCUCAGCAACUUUUCCAAUGCGUAGACACAGUUGCAGCCCCUGUGGCUUCCGGAGUUGUGUUACAGACAACCCCACCGCUGGGUUCCGAUAUGUAAUCAUCUCGUGUUUAUUAUCACGCAGGCUUUCCAUACGACACACGCCUCUCUCUGUUCUAAAUGUAAAAAAUACGCGGGAGUCACAGAAGUUCAGGUGGAAGAAUCCUUUAUCUCAUUUAUGCUUCUGACCACGAGAUCCUUAAACCCUAAUGUCCUUAAAGCCCAGUUGACCCCCAACGUAAAUGAAUUAAUGAUCCAUUCAUAGAGUAAAUUCUUUCUCACCCCCAUUUCCCCUCCAUUCACUUUUCCUCCCUACAAUUCUUCAGAGCCCCGGAGGCAGGGUCACGACCUCAAAUGCACCAAGUCCAGUCAGAAUGUAGGAAGGACUGAAGCCGUUAAGUGAGAAAAGAGUAAAAACUGCGGGAAGCUCUUUAUGGAACUUCUCUAGAAGUUCUGCAAGAACCCCAACUUCAAAUCCAGAUGCAAAGAAGAUAGUGUAAUCCAUAG